AUGGCUAGCCAGGAGGAGCAGCCCGACUGGUUGGACCUCCCCUCCGAUCUAGUGACGAUCAUCGCGCGGAGGUCCCGCGACGCCGUCACCGGGCUCGCCGCGUUCCGCUCCGUGUGCCGGGCAUGGCGCGCCGCGGCAGGGCCAGCGCCGCGCCUCCUGCUCCCCCGUGUCCGCGCCUCCCACACGGCUGUCUUCCCCUUGUCCCGCGGCUGGUCCCUCGUCGUCGACACCCACGACGCCUCCUGCCACGUCUCGCACCUGGCCACCCGCGCCACGGCGGCCCUGCCCAAGCUCAACGCCGUCCGCGACGGCCCAGGCAGCGACGUCGUCCGGCACGUAAGGUACGUGCACCGCAACGACCUGGACACGGCGCUGUGCAGCAACUGGAUCUUCCCGACCUACCUCGAUUUCACGGACUACUUGCGCUUCGCCCUCCACCUCCCGCCCGGCGCCCCGGCGGCGGUGGCGACGGGCAUGACGGUCAUGAUGUACCACAAGAUGCACGGGCACACGGGCAUGCUCUUCUGCCGCCCCGGCGACGCGGCAUGGACCAAGGUGGAGAAGCCCCGCCGCAUAGGCUACGGCUACUUCGACUUCGCCUACCAUGACGGGAAGGUGUUCGGCAUGGACAUCAACGGCGAGAUGGCGGUAUUCGACGCCGCCACGCUCGGCGCCCUACAGCUGGUCCCGCGUCCGCCGGACAUGCCCAACCUCAGCAGCAAGAUGUACGACUCCAUCUGCUCUCGGAAGCAAGAGUUGGAUUACGUCCACCUCGUCGCGUUGCCGAGCAAGCUGGUCCUGGUCGUGGCAAGGACCACCGUCAAGUCGUCCCGGCCGGUGGCCUUGGAUCUCUUCGAGCUGGGCUCUUCUCCGGCGCCUGACGGGCAGCUCGCCUGGCGCAAGGUGGCCGAGGCUGGUAACUACGAAUUGUUCGUCGAUAGGUACCACGCAACCUUCAGGGAAAAUGACGGCGCCAACGGGGGCGGAACUCGGAUCUACUACGUCCAUGACAUGAAGAAGGUUUCUACCGUCGCGGCAUACUGCUACAGCAUGCAGGAAAACAAGUUGGAAUGCGUCUACAGGUCACCGGAGGAUGAUGGUCCUCCCGACUGCUUAACUAGGCCUAGUUGGUUUGUUCCUUAG
This 1143-nucleotide ribosomal RNA is filed under the name Triticum aestivum (bread wheat). RNAcentral's name for it is "partial small subunit ribosomal RNA". The record is from RNAcentral. Lineage: Eukaryota; Viridiplantae; Streptophyta; Magnoliopsida; Poales; Poaceae.